GCCAGCAGCCAUGUCACCCUGCAGCUCUCAACUGGUAACCCACUGAAGCCCAGCAGGUGUGAGCCUGGUCAGUACCUGGAGGGGAGACCUCCUGGGAAGCUAUGGCUGCUGCUGGAA
Molecule: ribosomal RNA, 117 nt
Organism: Lepisosteus oculatus (spotted gar)
Lineage: Eukaryota; Metazoa; Chordata; Actinopteri; Semionotiformes; Lepisosteidae
Source: Rfam